RNAcentral lists this ribosomal RNA (484 nucleotides) under uncultured bacterium. RNAcentral describes it as "partial 16S ribosomal RNA". It matches the Rfam family "Bacterial small subunit ribosomal RNA", at positions 30 to 507 of the family's 1533-position model. The record is from RNAcentral.
AUUGAACGCUGGCGGCAGGCCUAACACAUGCAAGUCGAGCGGUAGCAGGAAGCUGCUUCCUUGUUUCCUCGCCAGUCGCGUACGGGAGGCCAAUGUCUCUGACUGUUCGUGAUGGAUGGCGUCCACUACCGGAAGCGAAUACCAAAUCCGUAUAAAGUCUGAAAGUGAAGGAUCUUCAGACUCGGCGCUCUCAGCUGCGGCUAUGUCGGGUUAGCUAGUUGGUGGGGGAAAGGCCUACCGAGGCGACGACCCGUAUCUGUUCUGAGUGGAUGAGCAGCCACACUGGAACUGAGACACGGUCCAGACUCCUACGGGAGGCAGCAGUGGGGAAUAUUGGACAAUGGGCGAAAGCCUGAUGCAGCCAUGCCGCGUGUGUGAAGAAGGUCUUCGGAUUGUAAAGUACUUUAAGCGGGGAGGAAGGGAGGUAAGUUAAUACCUUGCCUCAUUGACGUUACCAGCAGAAGAAGCACCGGCUAACUUCGUG